CAUACUUUAUUUUUGAUCAACACAUUAAUGUGAACCCUUGUUUCUCCUGUCACCUGUGUUCACAGUGACCCUAGAGAGGUAACUAGGACAGCAUCUUAUCCCCUCUCACAGCUGAGGAAACUGAGCUGUGGAGUUGGGAAGCAACUGCCCUCAGGUGGCAGGUAGGUGAAGGGGCCAUGUCUGGAGGCUGGGUCUCUCUGACACCUGUGCCCUUUCUGCUGCCUGUGGGACCUCCAGCAGUGCAUGGGUCAAGUGGAGUCCAGGUAGCUAGAACCCUGGGGCUCACAGCAUAUGUUGUCUGAUUACAAAAAAAAAGAGCAAAGGUAUUUUUUGACCCAGUUAAACCAUAAGGGGACAGUCCAAUGGUGUUUGCUUUUUUUUUUUUUUUGAGGCAGGGCCUGGCUCUGUUGCCCAGGCUGGAAUGCAAUGACACGAUCUCAGCUCACUGCAACCUCUACCUCUUGGGCUCAAGCCACCCUCCCACCUCACCCUCCCAAGUAGCUGGGACUACAGGUACGCACCACCACACCCAGCGGAGUUUUGUACUUUAUAUAGAGAUGGAAUUUUACCAUGUUGCCCAGACUGGUCUCGAACUCCUGAGCUCAAGAGAUCCCCCAACCUCGGCCUCCCAAAGUGCUAGGAUUACAGAUGUGAGCCACCGUUCCCGGCCCCACAAUAGUGUUUUUUAAAAUUACCUUUCCUUUAACCUUUCCACUUAAUUUUUGAUGAGACUCUCAGCAUCUCAGUGUCUAACAUCAGACCUGGUUUUGGCAGCCAAGAAGCCUUGAUCUGUCUUCUGCCUCCAAGAUGUCUGUGAGCUCUUUCCACUGUGACCCCACAGGCAUGGUUGUUGACAAAACUUGUGCUUAGUGAAAGAUGGCGGAAAUUUCCACCUUUAGGAAUGUGGGUAACAGUGCUCAAGAGUGGUCCACUGAAGCGGUCAGCCCAUCCAGGUGUGCACCAGAGCAUUUGCUGGUCUUCUGCCUACCCCGGACAGAUAGGAGUCUAAAUGUCAGAUGUGCCAGCGGUGGGUUCAUGGUGCCCACCAUUUGGCAGGAAUCUUUUUUGAUGAUAGAAACCCAGGGCAGUGAUGUUUGUGAAUGUGAGUAUUGAGAUGGUGGAUACUUCUUGGUGCUCUGUGUGCUGCUUACAGUUCAGUGGGGCUUGCCCACUGAGAAGAGCUGGUCCCCUGGCAGGCCAUGUCUCAUGUCUGAAGAUCAUUCUCCUGCCUUCCUUUUGCCCACCACUCUCCUUUUUCUUUCUUUUUCUGAAAGGUAGGGAGGGAUAGGAUUAAGUAAAAGGUUAUCUAUAAAAGCUGCGUGCCCAAGAAGUCUGCAAGCCCACUGACGUCCUUGGUUUCAUGGUUUAAAGUGAGAUGCUGCCUAGUAAAGGGGUGAAUCCUUUUACUUGAACAUCCCUAGAGCUCAUUUAACGAGAGCCCUUUUAUUCACUUCUAAAGAAAAUACAGUGGAUAUUCACAUCACAAAGUCAGAUUUCUUUUUGUUUGGACAUCAAUAAGGACAUACACUCGCUAGUUUGUUUUACACAUCAGGUAAAAAGCAUUUGCUUUUCCGUUUUCUUCUGGAAUGGUCCUUAAGUAAGCCUAGUAGAUGACUCCUCAGUGUUUCUUUAAAUUCUUGUUACUAGUCCAGAAAGGUGUUGGUGGUAGAUUUCUCCCUUUCUAGUCCAGAUUUGGUUUAAAUUUGUAGGGCCACCUUUUUCCAUCCUGAACAAUCCAGGAAUUCCAUAAAUACUGUUGCCUGGGGAAAGAAGGGCUAAGCAUGUAUGUCGGGAAGGGAGAAACAGGAGGAAUGAAAGGAAGGAAGAGGAAAGAUGCAUGGGAGGAAGAGAGCUGGAUUGGGACUGCACAGUCACAGCCCUUGCCUCCGGUGUCACAAGGGCUUCAUGGGGCUCUGGAGAGUCAGAUCCCUGUGAAAGCAGAUGGACAGAAACCAGCCAGAGAGAGAGGCUCAGAAGAUUGGAGCAGGCAGUUCUGAAGCUCAGGGCUGUGUCAAAAGCUAGCCAAAUGUGUUGGGGCGAGGCGGCUUGCCUGGCAAACCCAUCUGCUUUUUGCUUAAUAGAUGGGUUUGGAUGCCUGUGGAACAGAGGCCUCGGGGGACGAGCUUUGUUAACUUUGUGUUAUGUUGAAGGAAUGUGACAGAGGAGGGUAUGACUGUCAUCCACCCAUCAGGGAUCUGUCCCUGACACGCUGGGGUAGAGGAUGGAAGAACAUGGAAUAGAGGAUGGAAGAAUAUGGAAUAGUGCCCUGACUCGAAAGUUAACCGAUUUCCUUCCCUUCCUUCCCUUCUCUCUCAGCAACUCCGAAGUCAAGCCCGCACUCUGAUUACCUUUGCUGGAAUGAUACCAUACCGAACGUCUGGGGACACCAAUGCGAGGCUGGUGCAGAUGGAGGUCCUCAUGAAUUAAGUGCCAUGCUUUGUGGGAGUCUGGGUCGGCACACUGUCAGUACAUCAGGCACAUGGGCCCACUAGGCUGGGGUUUCUGGUUUUGUUUCUGUUGUGUUUUGUUUUGGUUUCUGUAUUAUGUAUUUUUGUCAACGCCAAUAAAUUUCUUUGAUUUGU
RNAcentral lists this long non-coding RNA (2582 nucleotides) under Homo sapiens (human). RNAcentral describes it as "long non-coding RNA NONHSAT142716.2". Lineage: Eukaryota; Metazoa; Chordata; Mammalia; Primates; Hominidae. The record is from RNAcentral.